ACUGAGGGUAGCGGAGAAAUUCCAAUCGAACCUGGAGAUAGCUGGUUCUCUCCGAAAUAGCUUUAGGGCUAGCCUCAAGUGAUGAUUAUUGGAGGUAGAGCACUGUUUGGACGAGGGGCCCCUCUCGGGUUACCGAAUUCAGACAAACUCCGAAUGCCAAUUAAUUUAACUUGGGAGUCAGAACAUGGGUGAUAAGGUCCGUGUUCGAAAGGGAAACAGCCCAGACCACCAGCUAAGGUCCCAAAAUAUAUGUUAAGUGGAAAAGGAUGUGGCGUUGCCCAGACAACUAGGAUGUUGGCUUAGAAGCAGCCAUCAUUUAAAGAGUGCGUAAUAGCUCACUAGUCGAGUGACACUGCGCCGAAAAUGUACCGGGGCUAAACAUAUUACCGAAGCUGUGGAUUGUCCUUUGGACAAUGGUAGGAGAGCGUUCUAAGGGCGUUGAAGCAUGAUCGUAAGGACAUGUGGAGCGCUUAGAAGUGAGAAUGCCGGUGUGAGUAGCGAAAGACGGGUGAGAAUCCCGUCCACCGAUUGACUAAGGUUUCCAGAGGAAGGCUCGUCCGCUCUGGGUUAGUCGGGUCCUAAGCUGAGGCCGACAGGCGUAGGCGAUGGAUAACAGGUUGAUAUUCCUGUACCACCUAUAAUCGUUUUAAUCGAUGGGGGGACGCAGUAGGAUAGGCGAAGCGUGCGAUUGGAUUGCACGUCUAAGCAGUAAGGCUGAGUAUUAGGCAAAUCCGGUACUCAUUAAGGCUGAGCUGUGAUGGGGAGAAGACAUUGUGUCUUCGAGUCGUUGAUUUCACACUGCCGAGAAAAGCCUCUAGAUAGAAAAUAGGUGCCCGUACCGCAAACCGACACAGGUAGUCAAGAUGAGAAUUCUAAGGUGAGCGAGCGAACUCUCGUUAAGGAACUCGGCAAAAUGACCCCGUAACUUCGGGAGAAGGGGUGCUCUUUAGGGUUAACGCCCAGAAGAGCCGCAGUGAAUAGGCCCAAGCGACUGUUUAUCAAAAACACAGGUCUCUGCUAAACCGUAAGGUGAUGUAUAGGGGCUGACGCCUGCCCGGUGCUGGAAGGUUAAGAGGAGUGGUUAGCUUCUGCGAAGCUACGAAUCGAAGCCCCAGUAAACGGCGGCCGUAACUAUAACGGUCCUAAGGUAGCGAAAUUCCUUGUCGGGUAAGUUCCGACCCGCACGAAAGGCGUAACGAUUUGGGCACUGUCUCAACGAGAGACUCGGUGAAAUCAUAGUACCUGUGAAGAUGCAGGUUACCCGCGACAGGACGGAAAGACCCCGUGGAGCUUUACUGUAGCCUGAUAUUGAAAUUCGGCACAGCUUGUACAGGAUAGGUAGGAGCCUUUGAAACGUGAGCGCUAGCUUACGUGGAGGCGCUGGUGGGAUACUACCCUAGCUGUGUUGGCUUUCUAACCCGCACCACUUAUCGUGGUGGGAGACAGUGUCAGGCGGGCAGUUUGACUGGGGCGGUCGCCUCCUAAAAGGUAACGGAGGCGCUCAAAGGUUCCCUCAGAAUGGUUGGAAAUCAUUCAUAGAGUGUAAAGGCAUAAGGGAGCUUGACUGCGAGACCUACAAGUCGAGCAGGGUCGAAAGACGGACUUAGUGAUCCGGUGGUUCCGCAUGGAAGGGCCAUCGCUCAACGGAUAAAAGCUACCCCGGGGAUAACAGGCUUAUCUCCCCCAAGAGUUCACAUCGACGGGGAGGUUUGGCACCUCGAUGUCGGCUCAUCGCAUCCUGGGGCUGUAGUCGGUCCCAAGGGUUGGGCUGUUCGCCCAUUAAAGCGGUACGCGAGCUGGGUUCAGAACGUCGUGAGACAGUUCGGUCCCUAUCCGUCGUGGGCGUAGGAAAUUUGAGAGGAGCUGUCCUUAGUACGAGAGGACCGGGAUGGACAUACCUCUGGUGUACCAGUUGUCGUGCCAACGGCAUAGCUGGGUAGCUAUGUGUGGACGGGAUAAGUGCUGAAAGCAUCUAAGCAUGAAGCCCCCCUCAAGAUGAGAUUUCCCAACUUCGGUUAUAAGAUCCCUCAAAGAUGAUGAGGUUAAUAGGUUCGAGGUGGAAGCAUGGUGACAUGUGGAGCUGACGAAUACUAAUCGAUCGAAGACUUAAUCAA
RNAcentral lists this ribosomal RNA (2114 nucleotides) under Staphylococcus aureus 2011-60-2256-5. Its description in RNAcentral is "bacterial LSU rRNA". It matches the Rfam family "Bacterial large subunit ribosomal RNA", at positions 808 to 2925 of the family's 2925-position model. The record is from RNAcentral. Lineage: Bacteria; Bacillati; Bacillota; Bacilli; Caryophanales; Staphylococcaceae.